UACCAGCUCUCCGAGUUGUAGGGGAUGAUUAUUGGGCUUAAAGCGUCCGUAGCUGGCUUAGCAAGUCUCCUGUUAAAUUCAGCGACCUAAUCGUUGAGCCGCGGGAGAUACUACUAGGCUAGGAGGCGGGAGAGGUCGACGGUACUUUCGGGGUAGGGGUGAAAUCCUAUAAUCCCGGGAGGACCACCAGUGGCGAAGGCUGUCGACUAGAACGCGCUCGACGGUGAGGGACGAAAGCUGGGGGAGCGAACCGGAUUAGAUACCCGGGUAGUCCCAGCUGGUAAACUAUGCGGGCUAGGUGUUGGGGUGGCUACGGGCCUCUUCAGUGCCGCAGGAAAGCCAUUAAGCCCGCCGCCUGGGGAGUACGGCCGCAAGGCUGAAACUUAAAGGAAUUGGCGGGGAGCACCACAAGGCGUGAAGCUUGCGGUUC
RNAcentral lists this ribosomal RNA (430 nucleotides) under uncultured archaeon. RNAcentral's name for it is "bacterial SSU rRNA". It matches the Rfam family "Archaeal small subunit ribosomal RNA", at positions 474 to 903 of the family's 1478-position model. The record is from RNAcentral.